GAUGAACGCUGGCGGCGUGCCUAAUACAUGCAAGUCGAGCGAACGGACGAGAAGCUUGCUUUUCUGAUGUUAGCGGCGGACGGGUGAGUAACACGUGGAUAACCUACCUAUAAGACUGGGAUAACUUCGGGAAACCGGAGCUAAUACCGGAUAAUAUUUUGAACCGCAUGGUUCAAAAGUGAAAGACGGUCUUGCUGUCACUUAUAGAUGGAUCCGCGCUGCAUUAGCUAGUUGGUAAGGUAACGGCUUACCAAGGCAACGAUGCAUAGCCGACCUGAGAGGGUGAUCGGCCACACUGGAACUGAGACACGGUCCAGACCCCUACGGGAGGCAGCAGUAGGGAAUCUUCCGCAAUGGGCGAAAGCCUGACGGAGCAACGCCGCGUGAGUGAUGAAGGUCUUCGGAUCGUAAAACUCUGUUAUUAGGGAAGAACAUAUGUGUAAGUAACUGUGCACAUCUUGACGGUACCCAAUCAGAAAGCCACGGCUAACUACGUG
RNAcentral lists this ribosomal RNA (497 nucleotides) under uncultured bacterium. RNAcentral describes it as "partial 16S ribosomal RNA". It matches the Rfam family "Bacterial small subunit ribosomal RNA", at positions 28 to 507 of the family's 1533-position model. The record is from RNAcentral.